This 1178-nucleotide ribosomal RNA is filed under the name uncultured eukaryote. RNAcentral's name for it is "SSU rRNA". It matches the Rfam family "Eukaryotic small subunit ribosomal RNA", at positions 577 to 1805 of the family's 1831-position model. The record is from RNAcentral.
CGGUAAUUCCAGCUCCAAUAGCGUAUAUUAAAGUUGUUGCAGUUAAAAAGCUCGUAGUUGAACUUUGGGCCUGGGCGGGCGGUCUACCUAUGGUAAGUACUGUUGCGGCCGGGUCUUUUCCUUCUGGCUAACUCUUCGGAGUGAACCAGGACGAUUACUUUGAGGAAAUUAGAGUGUUCAAAGCAGGCCUUUGCUCGGAUAUAUUAGCAUGGAAUAAUAGAAUAGGACGUUAUGGUUCUAUUUUGUUGGUUUCUAGGACCAUCGUAAUGAUUAAUAGGGACGGUCGGGGGCAUCAGUAUUCAGUUGUCAGAGGUGAAAUUCUUGGAUUAACUGAAGACUAACUACUGCGAAAGCAUUUGCCAAGGACGUUUUCAUUAAUCAAGAACGAAAGUUAGGGGAUCGAAGAUGAUCAGAUACCGUCGUAGUCUUAACCAUAAGCUAUGCCGACUAGGGAUCGGGUGGCGCUUCUUGCCCACUCGGCACCUUACGAGAAAUCAAAGUCUUUGGGUUCUGGGGGGAGUAUGGUUGCAAGGCUGAAACUUAAAGGAAUUGACGGAAGGGCACCACCAGGAGUGGAGCCUGCGGCUUAAUUUGACUCAACACGGGGAAACUCACCAGGUCCAGACGUAAUAAGGAUUGACAAGCUAGAGACUUCUCUUGAUCUUACGGGUGGUGGUGCAUGGCCGUUUUUAGUCCUUGGAGUGAUUUGUCUGCUUAAUUGCGAUAACGGACGAGACCUUAACCUGCUAAAUAGGGCUGCGAGCAUCUGCUCGUGGGCUCUUCUUAGAGGGACUAUGGGUUUCAAACCCAUGGAAGUUUGAGGCAACAACAGGUCUGUGAUGCCCUUAGACGUUCUGGGCCGCACGCGCGCUACACUGACGGAGCCAGCAAGUAUAUCCUUGGUCGAGAGGCCCGGGUAAUCUCGUGAAACUCCGUCGUGCUGGGGAUAGAGCAUUGUAAUUUUUGCUCUUCAACGAGGAAUUCCUAGUAAGCGCAAGUCAUCAGCUUGCGUUGAUUACGUCCCUGCCCUUUGUACACACCGCCCGUCGCUACUACCGAUUGAAUGGCUUAGUGAGGCUUCAAGAUUGGCGCCGCGGGAGGGGCAACUUUCCCAUGGCGCUGAAAAUUCAGUCAAACUUGGUCAUUUAGAGGUCGUAAAAGUCGUAACAAGGUAGCCG